Molecule: ribosomal RNA, 987 nt
Filed under: Triticum aestivum (bread wheat)
Lineage: Eukaryota; Viridiplantae; Streptophyta; Magnoliopsida; Poales; Poaceae
Description: partial small subunit ribosomal RNA
Source: RNAcentral
AUGGUGUACGACGUGCCUGAGGAUGCCGAGCGAGGCCUGGAUGACGCCGGCGAAGAAGGUCGCCGUGAAGGCCAGGUGGAGGUAGAGCGCCGGGUUCUCCGUGGCCGACACCUCGGCGCCCAGCAUGGAGGCGAUGAGCAGCGACGCCACCGCCACCGUCCCCACCGCCAGGUCCUUGGAGCUCCCCAUCAUCGCGUACACCAGCGGCGGCACGAAGCUCGAGUCUGCAGUCCGUCACAUACUCAUACAGUGAGCCACAGAGGCACGAAGGCUCAUACAGUCGGCAAUGGCAACAUAUAUAUGGCCAUGUGUGACGCGCUUACAGAGGCCGAGGAUGGGCGGCAGGUUGGCGAGCUUGGCGUAGCUGAUGCCCUGCGGGAUGGCGAGGCUGGCAAUGGUGAUGCCGGCGAUGAGGUCCGACUUGAAGGUGCCGAGCCUGUAUGCCGGCGCCCACUCGAGGAACGGGAAGAAGUAGCGGAGCGCGGCCGCCGCGCGCCGGCCGAAGCCCCGCUCCCGCACCACCGCGCGGAACGGGUCGUCCGGGAAGAAGGUCUCCUUGAGGUUGGCCCGGAACGUGUCCAGGAACGGCCGCGCCUCCGGCACCGGCACCCUCUGCGCCGCCCUGCCCCCGCCGUCCACGCUCUUCCCAGCCGCCGCGCUGCCGCCCAUGGCCGCCGGCUGCACACGUGUGCGCUAGGCCGCUCGCUCCCUCGCUCGCUCUCUCUAACUGUGUGUGCUGUGUUGGGAAAUGGAUUUCACCACUUGCGCUUGCGCUUGCUCUUGCUCUGGAUGGUCUGCCCGUGCUGCGCUGGUGUAUAUAUACAGCGGCCGGGGGUCGGAUUUGGUGUCCGGUCCGGGCGGUGGGCUCGGUCGGGAUUAGCGUUCCGGGCAAACCUCGCCGUGCGGUGCGAUGCGACGGGCGCACGCGCCGCACGGGCCCCGCCUGACAGGGACCUACGUGCUCGCCUGACGUGGAGCGCGCGGUAG